NNNAUCGGUAAAUCGGUAGAAAUGGAGAAACCAACACGGGGACACAGAUACAUGACCAUCAACUCAACUACAGACGCUGUUUGGAUCCAGCUGGCUUCCCCGUGAAUGCCUGGUCCCGCUCAGGAUCUCACACAGAGUCUCCCCUGAAUCCCACAGCUGGAGCGCUGACACAGGGCGUCAUUUGAGACUCACUUGCAUGCAGCAAGACAGCCGCAGGGCGCCAGAACGCUAGCUACGGAAUCCAUUCAAUCCUGACUUCACUGUGACUGUGGAACGAGGCCAAAGCCAGGGGUGCCAGGAGCACCGCUUUUCUGAAUCAGCGACCGCGGCGGGAGCCGCAGCGACCUCGCGGGGCCGCGUCCCCGAGUCCCUGGCUCGGAGCCACUUGGGUGGCUCGAACUUGGGCAGACUGGACCGUCUCCUUCCUAGUCUUUCUGCGGUGCCCUCUGAACAGUAUUGGGGUGGGAAAACCGAGAGAGACCCCUGCACACCUGGGACGGUGGGGCUUGGGCUGAGGGGCUGUGUCCCGUGCCCACCUGGGGGCAGAGGCUCCACCUGUGAGCUCCGUGCCCACGGCUGUCCCUCUCCUCCCCGCUCCUCCCCAGGCCCCAGACAGUUCAUUCCGCACAGCUGCCCCUGCAGUCAUCUUUCCAUUUCCCUUCCCCCGUGCUGGCCCCGCAGAAUACCCCUGGCUUUACUUUGUAAAUCUAGGAACCUCCAGACACAGCACAAAGAGCUGCUGAGUCUGCAGCCAGAACCUGGGGUCCCAAGCCCCAGGCUGCAGGGUCUUCACCCGGGGAAGAUUUCGAACCCAGCAGAGGUCGGGGGCACAGUGACACCUGUGGCAGCUGCCAGCUCCUGCUCAGCUGUCCCCUGGCUCAGGGGCUGUCCCCUGGCUCAGGGACCGUCCCUUCUCCCAGUUUCCUGUGGUUACCCCACUCUCACUUCAUCUACUCAGGACAAUGAGACCCAACAAACCCUCUCCUACCACGUGGCAGUGAAGCAGAAAUUACCCCCAAACGUGGUCGUAAACGGCCUGGGUGGCAGUGACAUGCCCGUGUGGGCUCCUGAUGGUGAUAGGUGCAGGGCUGUGGGGCCCAGAGUUCCCCGGGCGCAGGCUGAAUAG
Molecule: long non-coding RNA, 1126 nt
Filed under: Capra hircus (goat)
Lineage: Eukaryota; Metazoa; Chordata; Mammalia; Artiodactyla; Bovidae
Description: lncRNA (ENSCHIG00010022880.1)
Source: RNAcentral